Molecule: ribosomal RNA, 253 nt
Filed under: uncultured bacterium
Lineage: Bacteria
Description: partial 16S ribosomal RNA
Rfam family: Bacterial small subunit ribosomal RNA
Source: RNAcentral
UACAGAGGGUGCGAGCGUUAAUCGGAAUUACUGGGCGUAAAGCGCACGUAGGUGGCGACGUAAGUCGGGUGUGAAAGCCCCGGGCUCAACCUGGGAAUUGCAUUCGAGACUGCAUUGCUGGAGUACGGAAGAGGAAGGCGGAAUUCCCGGUGUAGCGGUGAAAUGCGUAGAUAUCGGGAGGAACAUUAGUGGCGAAGGCGGCCUUCUGGUCCAGUACUGACACUCAAGUGCGAAAGCGUGGGGAGCAAACAGG